Molecule: ribosomal RNA, 498 nt
Filed under: uncultured bacterium
Lineage: Bacteria
Description: partial 16S ribosomal RNA
Rfam family: Bacterial small subunit ribosomal RNA
Source: RNAcentral
GAUGAACGCUGGCGGCGUGCUUAACACAUGCAAGUCGAACGGGGUACCCCUGACGGAGGCUUCGGCCAACUGAAGGGACUACCUAGUGGCGGACGGGUGAGUAACGCGUGAGGAACCUGCCUUGGAGUGGGGAAUAACAGUUAGAAAUAGCUGCUAAUACCGCAUGAUGCAGCGUGGUCGCAUGACUGUGCUGCCAAAGAUUUAUCGCUCUGAGAUGGCCUCGCGUCUGAUUAGAGAGUUGGCGGGGUAACGGCCCACCAAGUCGACGAUCAGUAGCCGGACUGAGAGGUUGGCCGGCCACAUUGGGACUGAGACACGGCCCAGACUCCUACGGGAGGCAGCAGUGGGGAAUAUUGGGCAAUGGGCGGAAGCCUGACCCAGCAACGCCGCGUGAAGGAAGAAGGCCCUCGGGUUGUAAACUUCUUUUAACAGGGACGAAACAAAUGACGGUACCUGUUGAAUAAGCCACGGCUAACUACGUGCCAGCAGCCGCAGUAA